This 4815-nucleotide small RNA is filed under the name Pan troglodytes (chimpanzee). Its description in RNAcentral is "retained intron". Lineage: Eukaryota; Metazoa; Chordata; Mammalia; Primates; Hominidae. The record is from RNAcentral.
AUUCUUUGUACUGGGGUCUCUAUUUCUGCUACUGAAGGAGGUGGUACAGACGUUGCUGCAACUGGAGGGGGUGGUAAAAACCAAUUUUUAUCCUCCCUCUCCUGUUUUUUGUUUUCAAUUGGAUCUGUGGAUGGGACAACAGAUUCUUUGAGAUUUUUAGACUCAGUCUGCUGCCCAGCAGAAUAAUGAGAUAAUGGCAGAACAGUACGAACUAGACUCCACGUGAAGACAGAAGAAUCAACUUUAAGACCUUUUUGAUGAGCCUUUUUUAAUCCUUUUCCUGCUGUGUCCCAAUUUUCCACAUCAAGAGUGCCUGCCUGUGGAAACCAUGGGCUAUGCAUAAUAAUCUCCUGCAGAGAGGCUUAAUGUCUGUGAAUUAACCUGAGUUCCAGACUGUCUCAAUAGAACUUUAAACAACUGCACAUAGUGGUUUUUUUCAACAGACAAAUUCUGCCCCAUGUUACCCUGAUUCAGAAAACUUCCCAUUCCCAGUACUUUAGAGCACUGACCUUAUAUCGCUCCCAGUACCUCUUUAGGGCACUGACCUUACAUCUGCUGCCAGCCGACUCAUCCAGGGUUCCCCAUUCACCUUGUGAAUUUCAGUUCCUCUACUCCAGCAGAACCUUCUUUGUUCAUGUCCUCAAAGUCCUAUAUUCGGAGGCCACUUGUCUGACAUCCUCGAAGUCCCUGUUCUGGGUCACCAGUUGCCACCUGCACAGACCCUGGGGGACUGAACAAAGGGGGUGAACAUUGGAAUAAAAGACAAAGGUGUAUAUUUGGAAGAAGGGGUCAGGGGGCUCCUUCUAGUGAACAAGGGCCCUGAGCUUUAGAGCCCUUUGUAUUUUAUUGAGUAAAGGAGACGGUGGCAGGGGGAGGGGGUGGUUAUUGGUCAGCGGCUUGAUUUACAUCAGGUUUGCAAGACUGCAUUCUUUGAACAAUAGACUGUAGAUGUCCCAGUAGAUAAUUUCAAUGAGCAUGGCACCAGAGAGUGAUUACCUUCAGCAAACCUUCUGGUGUCAGGCGCAGUCGUGAGUUUGCCCACAUCCUGCAUUCAUGAUAGUUUGUUGUUUGAUCAUAUAGCCUCCAGUGGAAUGUUGAGCUGGUCACAUCUCUUGGGCCUUCAGCUUCCUACAUGUGGGAACACUCAGUCCUUUUCUGGGGAUGUGUUUCUUCUGGCUUGUGGAAGUGCCAUUAUUAAUGUCUAUACAGCUCUUCUUGGAUUUCUGAUUUUCCCUAAGAGGCUCAUCCCUGCUUCUUCCCAGAAGUUUUCAGUUUCUGUUGUAUUUCUCUGCUCAUAAUCUCUUUCAGAUUUACCCAUAAUUCUCUCGACUCUGCAGAUUCCCCACUGCUGCAAUGCAUCACCUCAGUUCCUUGUGUUUUCUGCACUGCCAGCAUGAUAUACACAAUACCCUGAUACUCCUACCAAUGUCUGAGUCAGGUGAGGCAGAAUCUAGACCCUCUGUCAGACAUGAAGGAUGCCAUUAUCAUGGGUUGAAGUUCCACUUUUUUCUUUCUGUUUUAGAGAGGAGCUCUAAAUUGGGAAGUAAUGCAGGAAACAAGCCUUGUAAAAAUCAACUUGGAUUCACUUUUCAGUUACAUCUGAGUGAUCUACAGCUAUUUCAAGCUGAAAGGAAAGUUUCUGGGUGUAAGCAUUUUGAAAAACCCAUCAGUGACAAUUCCUCAGUUUCACCGCUUGAAAAAAUUUCUUCCAGUGUCAAAUCCCACCUUUUAAAUAAAUAUAGAAAUAAUUUUGAUCAUGCGCCAUUACUUCCACAAGAACAGAAAGCACACAUUAGGGAAAAAGCUUAUAAAUGUAAUGAGCAUGGCCAAGUCUUUAGAGCAUCUGCAAGCCUUACUAACCAAGUAAUCCAUAAUGCAGAUAAUCCUUACAAAUGCAGUGAAUGUGGCAAGGUCUUUAGUUGCAGUUCAAAGCUUGUGAUACAUCGAAGAAUGCAUACUGGAGAGAAGCCUUACAAAUGUCAUGAAUGUGGCAAGCUCUUUAGUAGCAAUUCAAACCUUUCACAACAUCAAAGAAUUCAUACUGGAGAGAAGCCUUACAAAUGUCAUGAAUGUGACAAAGUCUUUCGAAGCAGUUCAAAGCUUGCACAACAUCAAAGAAUUCAUACGGGAGAGAAGCCUUACAAAUGUCAUGAAUGUGACAAGGUCUUCAAUCAAAUUGCACACCUUGUACGACAUCAAAAAAUUCAUACUGGAGAGAAACCUUACAGUUGUAAUAAAUGUGGCAAGGUCUUUAGUCGCCAUUCAUAUCUAGCAGAACAUCAAACAGUUCAUACUGGUGAGAAACCUUACAAAUGUGAAGAGUGUGGCAAAGCAUUUUCAGUGCGUUCCAGCCUCAUAACCCAUCAGUUAAUUCACACUGGAAGGAAACCUUACAAAUGUAAAGAAUGUGACAAGGUCUUUGGGCGCAAGUGUUUCCUGACCUCUCAUCAGAGAAUUCAUACUAGAGAGAGACCUUAUGGAUGCAGUCAGUGUGGCAAGAUCUUUAGUCAGAAAUCAGACCUUAUACGACAUCGAAAAACUCAUACUGAUGAGAAGCCUUACAAAUGUAAUAAAUGUGGCACAGCGUUUAGAGAGUUUUCAGACCUUACUGCCCAUUUUCUAAUCCAUAGUGGAGAGAAACCUUAUGAAUGUAAAGAAUGUGGCAAAGUCUUCAGGUACAAGUCUUCUCUAACCAGUCAUCAUAGAAUUCAUACUGGAGAGAAGCCUUACAAAUGUAACAGAUGUGGCAAGGUCUUCAGUCGCAGUUCAAACCUUGUAUGCCAUCAGAAAAUUCAUACAGGAGAAAAGCCUUACAAAUGUAAUGAAUGUGGCAAGGUCUUUAAUCAAGCGUCAUACCUUACAAGACAUCAAAUAAUUCAUACUGGAGAGAGGCCUUACAGAUGUAAUAAAUGUGGCAAAGCAUUUCGAGGGUGUUCAGGCCUUACUGCCCAUCUUGCAAUCCAUACUGAAAAGAAAUCUCAUGAGUGUAAAGAAUGUGGCAAGAUCUUCACUCACAAGUCUUCCCUCACCAAUCACCGUAGAAUUCACAUUGGAGAGAAACCUUACAAAUGCACCCUGUGCAGUAAGGUCUUCAGUCACAAUUCUGACCUUGCACAGCAUCAGAGAGUUCAUUCAUGAGAGUCCCUACAAACUGUGUAUGGGAAAACCAUCAUCAUGAGUUCUAGCAUUAAUCAACAUCAGUGAGUUCAUACUAAGUGGAAAUCAUAUAAAUGAAAUGUAUGUGACAGGCUUUAUCAAGGCCUGCCAAAUCACUAGACAUCACCACAUCACUGUGGAGGAUGAAAGCACACAGAUGAAUUGUGUGUACUUGGGCUAUUAUUCAAGGACCAUUGCUAUAGAACACGAUAGGAUUUACACAAGAAGUAACUCUGUCUCUGGUUCUCUGAUACUAAUCUAUGAUAUUGCAUAAUGCAGAAUAAUGCUAAGUCAAAAUAUGUUGAAUCUCAUGACGUGAUGUAUAUCAAAGGUGCAACGGCUUGUAAAUGACCAGUUUUAUUCAGGCUAUAAAGCAUUCAAUUAUUUGGAGCUUAUAGAAAAGGCUACUUUACUCUUUGUGACUUUGAAGUCUCUUCAUGUGCCUUCCAUACAGGCCAUUCACUGUGGUCCCUGGGAAAGAAUCAGUAGGAUGACAGGGCUGACUUCAUUAGCUGAGGAUUAUUUCUAUCCAAUUUCCUGAUGAAGGACAUUGUCUUUUGAGAUUAAAUAUUGUCUGAUUUAGAGAGCAUGGAGGUGGGCAGAGUAACAUAAAACUGAUGACCGUCGUCAUACUGUUGCAGUCAGCACACUUUCUCCUGACAUAAGUGCACAGAGCUUCAGUGUCCACCAACUGACCAUGAAAUAGAGUAUGCUGUAAUCUUAAGGCAUAGGUUAUUAGUGGGAAGAGAGUAAUAGGUUGCUAGUGUCUGAUUAUAUGGUAGAAAUAAUGCAAGGAAAAAGGUAGCCACCUUCUCCAUUGAACAGCAGUACCUGCUGUUUAGCAAAGACUGAUGAGAAAUAGACUUUUUUUUUUUUUUUUGGAGAUAGAGUUUCAAUCUGUUGCCCAGGCUGGAGUGUAGUUGUGUGUUCUUGGCUCACUGCACCCUCCGCCUCCUGGGUUCAAGCAGUCCUUCUGCCUUAGCCUCCUAAGUAGCUGAGACUACAGACGUGCGCCACCACACCCAGUUCAUUUUUGUAUUUUUAGUAGAGACGGUGUUUACCAUAUUGGCCAGGCAGGUCUCCAACUCCUGACCUCAAGUGAUAUGUUCACCUCAGCCUCCCAAAGUGCUGGGAUUACAGGCAUGAACCACAGUGUCCAGCCUCAUUUUUGAAAUGGAAUAGAGAACAGUUAUAUCACAGUUGAGAGUUUAAUCAAAAUGACUGGAUCAGCAUAUUCUUUUUUUAGAUGAGACAGAGUUUCGCCCUUGUCACCCAGGCUGUAGUGCGGUGGCGCGAUCUCGGCUCACUGCAACCUCCGCCUCCCGGGUUCAAGCAAUUCUCCUGCCUCAGCCUCCCAAGUAGCUGGGAUUACAGGCGUGUACCACCAUACCCAGCUAAUUUUUGUAUUUUUAGUAGAGAUGGGGUUUCACCACGUUGGCCACACUGGUCUCAAACUCCUGACCUCAGGCGAUCCAUCUGCCUCAGCCUGAAAGUGCUAGGAUUACAGGCGUGAGCCACCGCGCCUGUCCAGAUCAGCAUAUUCUUAAGUAGGAUUCACAUUUAAUUCUUGGUAUUAUAAGUUGCAACCAUUUGAUUUAGAAUGUAUGCAGCUCUCAUGUUUGUAGUAAUAAAGUUUCAUUUUUCCUAAGUAUGAAUGAA